UGCCUCCCACAUGCAAGUCGAACGGCAGCACGGGGGCAACCCUGGUGGCGAGUGGCGGACGGGUGAGGAAUACAUAGGAAUCUACCCUGUCGUGGGGGAUAACGUAGGGAAACUUACGCUAAUACCGCAUACGACCGCGAGGUGAAAGUGGGGGACCGCAAGGCCUCACGCGACUGGAUGAGCCUAUGUCCGAUUAGCUAGUUGGCGGGGUAAGAGCCCACCAAGGCGACGAUCGGUAGCUGGUCUGAGAGGAUGAUCAGCCACACUGGAACUGAGACACGGUCCAGACUCCUACGGGAGGCAGCAGUGGGGAAUAUUGGACAAUGGGCGCAAGCCUGAUCCAGCAAUGCCGCGUGGGUGAAGAAGGCCUUCGGGUUGUAAAGCCC
Molecule: ribosomal RNA, 386 nt
Filed under: uncultured organism
Description: bacterial SSU rRNA
Rfam family: Bacterial small subunit ribosomal RNA
Source: RNAcentral